Molecule: long non-coding RNA, 213 nt
Organism: Apis florea (little honeybee)
Lineage: Eukaryota; Metazoa; Arthropoda; Insecta; Hymenoptera; Apidae
Source: RefSeq, a predicted model, not a curated record
GGAUGGAGGAGAGUAUAAAAGGAGGAUGGUUAACGUUCGAUUCGAUCGCGGAUAAACGGAUCGAGUGUAACGCGUAAGCAGAGAGUCGAGACGGUAGUAGGCCCGAGAUAAAUUUACGAAAGGACCGGUGUACGCGAGCAAAGUCGGGCCAACCUUAAUUCGAUUCCGUGCCAGAGAAAAAUUAACUUCUCUGCACUGCGCGAGGAGAAUUUU